GGCUGACACAUUUUACAUCUCUAGGAUAUGAUUUUAUACUUAUUGGGCGAUUAUAUUAUUAUUUAUGUUUAUGUGUCUAUGAAUCAUCCAAGGGAUUAACAAGAUGAUGACACAUAUUCUCAAAGAAUUGAGAAUUUGAGACGUGUCAUUGAUGGUUAAUUCCUAAAUUGCUCCUGAUCAUAGGAUCAUCAUGGAGAUGGUGAUUGAUCCGGAUAGACUAGUGCAC
This 226-nucleotide long non-coding RNA is filed under the name Elaeis guineensis (African oil palm). RNAcentral describes it as "long non-coding RNA (EGUI_LNC069267)". The record is from RNAcentral. Lineage: Eukaryota; Viridiplantae; Streptophyta; Magnoliopsida; Arecales; Arecaceae.